GACGAACGCUGGCGGCGUGCUUAACACAUGCAAGUCGAACGGAAAGGCCCUGCUUUUGUGGGGUGCUCGAGUGGCGAACGGGUGAGUAACACGUGAGUAACCUGCCCUUGACUUUGGGAUAACUUCAGGGAACUGGGGCUCAUACCGGAUAGGAGCUCCUGCUGCAUGGUGGGGGUUGGAAAGUUUCGGCGGUUGUGGAUGGACUCGCGGCUUAUCAGCUUGUUGGUGGGGUAGUGGCUUACCAAGGCUUUGACGGGUAGCCGGCCUGAGAGGGUGACCGGCGACAUGGGGACUGAGAUACGGCGCAGACUCCUACGGGAGGCAGCAGUGGGGAAUAUUGCACAAUGGGGGGAAGCCUGAUGCAGCAACGCCGCGUGCGGGAUGACGGCCUUCGGGUUGUAAACCGCUUUCGCCUGUGACGAAGCGUGAGUGACGGUAAUGGGUAAAGAAGCACCGGCUAACUACGUG
Molecule: ribosomal RNA, 468 nt
Filed under: uncultured bacterium
Lineage: Bacteria
Description: partial 16S ribosomal RNA
Rfam family: Bacterial small subunit ribosomal RNA
Source: RNAcentral